ACCCUGGCUUACCAGGUCCUCCGGGCCCUCAUGGACCACAUGGAUUGGAUGGCACGCCAGGACUGGCAGGGCAGAGAGGUGAAGCAGGUCAGCCAGGACCCCCUGGACCACCAGGAGAGAGGGGUCUACAAGGAUUUAUUGGCAAAGCCGGAAACCCAGGAACACUAGGAGCUGCUGGGCCCCCAGGACCCCCUGGUACUGCGGGCCUUCCAGGACUUAAGGGCGAUAAGGGUGAAAUUGGUGUUGGAGUGCCAGGUUCAAGAGGAGAGCAAGGAGACCCAGGGCCUAGGGGAGAAGAAGGUCGGGCUGGAACAGAUGGAGAGAGAGGCCCUACUGGUCCUCCUGGCAGCAAAGGAAACA
Long non-coding RNA from Sinocyclocheilus anshuiensis, 360 nucleotides. RefSeq lists it as uncharacterized. The transcript has 6 exons. Lineage: Eukaryota; Metazoa; Chordata; Actinopteri; Cypriniformes; Cyprinidae. The record is from RefSeq and is a predicted model, not a curated record.